GCCCCACAAGCGCACGGCCAUUAUGCCAACCCUUCUGCAGGAUGGACCGCGACUGGUGAUACCAGCUUUAUCCUACCGCGAACGACAGGUCACUCAGAAGAUGAUCCUGGAAGACUGCCCUUCCAAACUUCACCCUCAUAACCAAUCUAGAAGGCACCCCAAAUUGUUGGUAUAGAUAAUCCCAGAUUACCUGGAGGUUCCUUAAUUGUUUCCUUGGAUGUAAGUGACUUCAGUUCUUCAAAGAUUUAGAACUAGGGGCGCCUGGGUGGCUCAGUCGGCUAAGCAUCUGACUCUUGAUUUCUCUCAUGGU
Molecule: long non-coding RNA, 310 nt
Filed under: Felis catus (domestic cat)
Lineage: Eukaryota; Metazoa; Chordata; Mammalia; Carnivora; Felidae
Description: lncRNA (ENSFCAG00000051768.1)
Source: RNAcentral